RNAcentral lists this long non-coding RNA (735 nucleotides) under Ursus maritimus (polar bear). Its description in RNAcentral is "lncRNA (ENSUMAG00000025474.1)". Lineage: Eukaryota; Metazoa; Chordata; Mammalia; Carnivora; Ursidae. The record is from RNAcentral.
UGCUGCUUGCGGACUUGAGGGGGCCAGGGUGGUUUACGUGGUUCAUUCCUCCCAUUAUUUGAUGGGCAGAAAGAAGAUUCUAGGAUGAGCCUUGGUGUGCACAAAGAGGAACCGAACUCCUGCGCCCCUCACCAGCCCCAUGCCCACCCCCGAUGUCCAUCUGGCUGCAGGGACGGGAAGCUCGGCCACCACAGUCCUGUCCACGGCAGCACUGCUCAGGAGGGACGGACACCAGUCACCUGUGGAGCUGUUGGUGCUGGCUCUGCGGAUCUCAGGCUGCUCCGCGAUUCCCAGGCCGCUGUCCUUGGUCCACACUGCGGGCAGCACACCAGGCUCACACUCCACGCCACCCUCUCCUCCACCCCAAGCCUGGGCCCAACAGGAAGUGAUGUGCUUUUGUUCACCCUGAGUCACCCGGUCAAUUUCACUGCACGAAUCUGAAAUCACCAGGUUGCCCACGACAGGGUGAAAACCGGAUUUCAUGUCUCCGCGGGGACAGGGUUCCUCACACUGACACCAGCUGCAGGCCACUCUCGCCAACACCGUUGACCUAGAGUCUAGCAACAGGAUGUCAGCGAGCAGGCGACCCUGGCCGCGGGUGCUCUCCGGGACAGCUGGCCCGUCCCCAGUGCCGGCCAGGGAUGCAACGCCUUGGGGGUUAACAACCGCUGGGUUGCGUCCCCUGCUCAGGACCGGGCUGAGGACAAUGGUCUUCGGCAGUUUGGGAAACGGACA